This 465-nucleotide ribosomal RNA is filed under the name uncultured bacterium. RNAcentral's name for it is "partial 16S ribosomal RNA". It matches the Rfam family "Bacterial small subunit ribosomal RNA", at positions 28 to 507 of the family's 1533-position model. The record is from RNAcentral.
GACGAACGCUGGCGGCGUGCUUAACACAUGCAAGUCGAACGGAAAGGCCCCUUUGGGGGUACUCGAGUGGCGAACGGGUGAGUAACACGUGAGUAACCUGCCCUUGACUUCGGGAUAACUUCAGGAAACUGGGGCUAAUACCGGAUAGGAAUCCUUGCUGCAUGGUGGGGGUUGGAAAGCUUCGGCGGUUUUGGAUGGACUCGCGGCUUAUCAGCUUGUUGGUGGGGUAGUGGCUUACCAAGGCGUUGACGGGUAGCCGGCCUGAGAGGGCGACCGGCCACAUUGGGACUGAGAUACGGCCCAGACUCCUACGGUAGGCAGCAGUGGGGAAUAUUGCACAAUGGGCGGAAGCCUGAUGCAGCAACGCCGCGUGCGGGAUGACGGCCUUCGUGUUGUAAACCGCUUUCAGCAGGGGCGAAGCUUGUGGUGACGUUACCUGCAGAAGAAGCACCGGCUAACUACGUG